CCUGGAAAUGGUAAUACUAACUACAAUGCAAAGUUCAAGGGCAAGGCCACACUGACUGCAGACACAUCCUCCAGCACAGCCUACAUGCAACUCAGCAGCCUGACAUCUGAGGACUCUGCGGUCUAUUACUGUGCAAGAUUUGACUACUGGGGCCAAGGGACCCCGGUCACCGUCUCCUCAGAGAGUCAGUCUUCCCCAACUGUCUUCCCCCUCGUCUCCUGCGAGAGCCCUCUGUCUGGUGAGAAUUUGGUGGCCAUGGGCUGCCUGGCCCGAGAUUUCCUGCCCAGCUCCAUUUCCUUCUCCUGGAACUACCAGAACAAGACCGAAGUCAGCCAGGGUGUCAGAACCUUCCCAACACUGAGGACAGGGGACAAGUACAUAGCUACCUCGCAGGUGUUGCUAUCUCCCAAGAAUGUCCUUGAAGGUUCAGAUGAAUACCUGGUAUGCAAAAUCCACCACGGCAGCAAAAACCAAGAUCUGCACGUGCCUAUUCCAGUUGUCACAGAGAUGAACCCCAAUGUAAGUGUGUUCAUUCCACCACGUGAUGCCUUCUCUGGCCCUGCACCACGCAAAUCCAAACUCAUCUGCGAGGCCACAAACUUCAGUCCCAAACAGAUCACAGUAUCCUGGCUACAGGAUGGGAAGCCUGUGAAAUCUGGCUUCACCACAGAUCCAGUGACUAUCGAGGACAAAGGAUCCAGACCCCAAACCUACAAGGUCAUAAGCACACUGACCAUCUCUGAAAGUGACUGGCUGAACCUGAGUGUGUACACCUGCCGUGUGGAUCACAGGGGUCUCACCUUCUGGAAGAACGUGUCUUCCACGUGUGCUGCCAGUCCAUCCACAGACAUCCUAGCCUUCCCCAUCCCCCCCUCCUUUGCCAGCAUCUUCCUCACCAAGUCUGCUAAACUGUCUUGUCUGGUCACAAACCUGGCAACCUAUGACACCCUGAAUAUCUCCUGGGCUUCCAAAAGUGGUGAACCACUGGAAACCAACAUUAAAAUCAUGGAAAGCCACCCCAAUGGCACCUUCAGUGCUGUGGGUGAGGCUAGUGUUUGUGUGGAAGACUGGAAUAACAGGAAGGAAUUUGUGUGUACUGUGACUCACAGGGACCUGCCUUCACCACAGAAGAAAAUCAUCUCAAAACCCAAUGAGGUGGCCAAACAUCCACCUGCUGUGUACCUGCUGCCACCAGCCCGUGAGCAACUGAACCUGAGGGAGGCGGCCACAGUCACCUGCCUGGUGAAGGGCUUCUCUCCUGCAGACAUCUUUGUGCAGUGGCUUCAGAGAGGGCAACCCUUACCCUUAGAGAAGUAUGUGACCAGUGCCCCGAUGCCAGAGCCCGGGGCCCCAGGCUUCUACUUUGCCCACAGCAUCCUGACUGUGACAGAGGAGGAAUGGAACUCCGGAGAGACCUAUACCUGUGUUGUAGGCCACGAGGCCCUGCCACACAUGGUGACCGAGAGGACCGUGGACAAGUCCACUGAGGGGGAGGUGAAUGCUGAGGAGGAAGGCUUUGAGAACCUGUGGACCACUGCCUCCACCUUCAUCGUCCUCUUCCUCCUGAGCCUCUUCUACAGCACCACUGUCACCCUGUUCAAGGUGAAAUGACUCUCAGCAUGGAAGGACAUCAGAGACCAAGAGACUCUCCCACAGGAACACUACCUCUGGGCCUGGGGUACCUGCUUGUAUGACUAGUAAACUUAUUCCCACAUCUUUCCUGUGUUGCCCUCAGCUUUGAUCUCUGAGAUGGACUUCUUUCUAGACUGACCAAAGACUUUUUGUAAACUUGUGCAACCUGAAGCAACGUCUGGACCACAGACAGCUGUGCUGUAUACAAAUGUCACUUGGAAAUAAAUACUUUAACUUGUGAACCCA
Non-coding RNA from Mastomys coucha (southern multimammate mouse), 1878 nucleotides. The record is from the annotation of a RefSeq genome assembly. NCBI's taxonomy places the organism in Eukaryota, Metazoa, Chordata, Mammalia, Rodentia, Muridae.